GACGAACGCUGGCGGCGUGCUUAACACAUGCAAGUCGAACGGAAAGGCCCUGCUUUUGUGGGGUGCUCGAGUGGCGAACGGGUGAGUAACACGUGAGUAACCUGCCCUUGACUUUGGGAUAACUUCAGGAAACUGGGGCUAAUACCGGAUAGGAGCUCCUGCUGCAUGGUGGGGGUUGGAAAGUUUCGGCGGUUGGGGAUGGACUCGCGGCUUAUCAGCUUGUUGGUGGGGUAGUGGCUUACCAAGGCUUUGACGGGUAGCCGGCCUGAGAGGGUGACCGGCCACAUUGGGACUGAGAUACCGCCCAGACUCCUACGGGAGGCAGCAGUGGGGAAUAUUGCAAAAUGGGCGGAAGCCUGAUGCAGCAACGCCGCGUGCGGGAUGACGGCCUUCGGGUUGUAAACCGCUUUCGCCUGUGACGAAGCGUGAGUGACGGUAAUGGGUAAAGAAGCACCGGCUAACUACGUG
This 468-nucleotide ribosomal RNA is filed under the name uncultured bacterium. RNAcentral's name for it is "partial 16S ribosomal RNA". It matches the Rfam family "Bacterial small subunit ribosomal RNA", at positions 28 to 507 of the family's 1533-position model. The record is from RNAcentral.